CUCUCCACUGUGACCCAUCUAUCUUGGGUGGCCCUACACAGUAUGGCUCAUACCUUCAUUGAAUUACUCAAGCCCCUUCAUCAUGAUAAGGCUGUGAUCCAUGAAGAAUGAGAUGUUUAGAUAGCAUCACCAACGCAAUGGACAUGAAUUUGAGCAAAGUGCUGGAGACAGUGAAGGACAAGAAAGCUUGGCAUGCUGCAAUCCAUGGGGUUGCAAAGAAUUGGGCGUGACAUAACAACUGAACAAUAGCAAUCUACAAUGAAGCUCAUUUCAUUGGGAUUGCUAAAAAAUGAUUAGAUGGAUCAAAGACUUUUUCCAAAACAUACUUACAGUAUUUGGGAAAAGAGAAAGUGGGGGAAAAAAGUAACAUCAUAAAAUAUUAUAGUAAUCUAAUUAGAAGUAAUGAUAAUAGUAACAAUUCAGUAAAUGCUUGCUAGAGGCUGAGUUCAAGAACUUUAUAAAUGUUUACUUAUUCAAUAGUAACAAAAGUUCCAUGAGAAAAUUAUGAUUACUGUCUCCAUUUUAUAAGAAAACCCAGGUGUAGUUUUCAUGUGUCUGCUUGCUGUCUCCAGGUUAGUCAUAGAGCUGGGCAGGGGUCAGAAGGCUGGCUCCAGAGUUUAUGUUCCUAACAGUGUAAGUUUGUACUGUUUAUUAUAUAUGGACAAGUGUAUUUUAUGUAAUUUAUAUAAUAUGAAUUGAUUAAAGACCAUUUUCUAUGGGGAUUCAUGCCACUGGGUAAGUACAGGGAUAGAUGUAGCCUGAUAUAUUCUUGACAGUAGACCAUCUACUUCAGGUAUGCACCUGGUUCAACUAUAUCUGUUGGCCUGAAGUUAUAAUGAAGUUUUUGACUGAAUAUUGAGAUUAGGGAGUCUGCUCUAAUAGGAAUUUAAAACAAUGAAAUAAACAGGAUCAAGUAGAAGGGAUAUGUUUUGAGCAUGAUGAGAAUAAAAUCCUCAACUUCUGGAGGGUGGGCAGAAGAGGGACCACUAGUAGUGAAGAGAAGAAAGAGUGAGAGGCAUCAGGAGAACAGGGAGAGAAGGCAGGGAAGACUGAGAGAUGGAGUUCCGCGGAUGGAAGCAUCCAUGUCAGUUGCAGCGCUUUGUUUCGUUCACUGCAUGUGUUGGUACCACUUGAUAAGCUGA
This 1142-nucleotide long non-coding RNA is filed under the name Capra hircus (goat). RNAcentral's name for it is "lncRNA (ENSCHIG00010000569.1)". The record is from RNAcentral. Lineage: Eukaryota; Metazoa; Chordata; Mammalia; Artiodactyla; Bovidae.